ACAGCAACUGACGGUGAGGCGCGAAAGUGUGGGGAGCAAACAGGAUUAGAUACCCUGGUAGUCCACACUGUAAACGAUGAAUACUAGGUGUGCGGGGACUGACCCCCUGCGUGCCGCAGUUAACACAAUAAGUAUUCCACCUGGGGAGUACGAUCGCAAGGUUGAAACUCAAAGGAAUUGACGGGGGCCCGCACAAGCGGUGGAUUAUGUGGUUUAAUUCGAAGCAACGCGAAGAACCUUACCAGGGUUUGACAUCCUGCUAACGAAGUAGAGAUACACUAGGUGCCCUUCGGGGAAAGCAGAGACAGGUGGUGCAUGGUUGUCGUCAGCUCGUGUCGUGAGAUGUUGGGUUAAGUCCCGCAACGAGCGCAACCCCUAUUGUUAGUUGCUACGCAAGAGCACUCUAGCGAGACUGCCGUUGACAAAACGGAGGAAGGUGGGGACGACGUCAAAUCAUCAUGCCCCUUAUAUCCUGGGCUACACACGUAAUACAAUGGCGGUCAACAGAGGGAGGCAAAGCCGCGAGGCAGAGCGAACCCCUAAAAGCCGUCCCAGUUCGGAUCGCAGGCUGCAACCCGCCUGCGUGAAGUCGGAAUCGCU
Molecule: ribosomal RNA, 600 nt
Filed under: uncultured bacterium
Lineage: Bacteria
Description: bacterial SSU rRNA
Rfam family: Bacterial small subunit ribosomal RNA
Source: RNAcentral